Long non-coding RNA from Homalodisca vitripennis (glassy-winged sharpshooter), 511 nucleotides. RefSeq lists it as uncharacterized. The record is from RefSeq and is a predicted model, not a curated record. The transcript is spliced from 2 exons. NCBI's taxonomy places the organism in Eukaryota, Metazoa, Arthropoda, Insecta, Hemiptera, Cicadellidae.
UAUUUCGAUAAAAUCCAAUUAUUUACACUCUUUUCGGUGAGUGUUUACAACGGCAAUUCUUAACCGUGUUACUUGGUUCCAAAUUGUACAAUUUAUUUAUAACACUUAAAUUUACACAGACUCCACUAUAUAGAGAUGUCAAAUACUUCAAGCUGUUCAGUUUGUCCUAUUUGUAGAAUCUGUAUGAGUGAUAUAUCGGAACAUUUGAUCCAGUCGCCUUGUCUAUGUAAAGGCACGAUGGGCCAUGUCCACAGAAAAUGCUUGGACAUCUGGAUGGAGAGAAAGAAGAGUUAUCACUGUGAAAUCUGUUCCUAUCCACUACGCUGUUCUACCCAAUCAUACAGUCUCUACAUCUUCUAUUACGUUGUCUAUCAACUGAUCAGGUUCACAAAAAUUACCCUCUAUGUGGCCCAGGAAAUUAGUAUAUUCACCGCGUGCUAUCUAAACGUCUUGCUUAUGUAUUACUUGUUUGAAACCUAUGUCCUACAAAUGCAAAGUUUUGAAAUUUUUA